GCCCAGACUCCUACGGGAGGCAGCAGUGGGGGAUAUUGCACAAUGGGGGGAACCCUGAUGCAGCGACGCCGCGUGGGUGAAGAAGCGCCUCGGCGCGUAAAGCCCUGUCAGCAGGGAAGAAAAUGACGGUACCUGAAGAAGAAGCCCCGGCUAACUACGUGCCAGCAGCCGCGGUAAUACAUAGGGGGCAAGCGUUAUCCGGAAUUAUUGGGUGUAAAGGGUGCGUAGACGGAGAAACAAGUUGGUUGUGAAAUCCCUCGGCUCAACCGAGGAACUGCAACCAAAACUAUUUCCCUUGAGUGUCGGAGAGGAAAGUGGAAUUCCUAGUGUAGCGGUGAAAUGCGUAGAUAUAAGGAAGAACACCAGUGGCGAAGGCGGAUGACUGGACGGCAACUGACGGUGAGGCGCGAAAGCGUGGGGAGCAAACAGGAUUAGAUACCCGAGUAAA
Molecule: ribosomal RNA, 448 nt
Filed under: uncultured bacterium
Lineage: Bacteria
Description: bacterial SSU rRNA
Rfam family: Bacterial small subunit ribosomal RNA
Source: RNAcentral